AGCCACACUGGGACUGAGACACGGCCCAGACUCCUACGGGAGGCAGCAGUGGGGAAUAUUGCACAAUGGGGGAAACCCUGAUGCAGCCAUGCCGCGUGUGUGAAGAAGGCCUUCGGGUUGUAAAGCACUUUCAGUUGUGAGGAAAAGUUAGUAGUUAAUACCUGCUAGCCGUGACGUUAACAACAGAAGAAGCACCGGCUAACUCCGUGCCAGCAGCCGCGGUAAUACGGAGGGUGCGAGCGUUAAUCGGAAUUACUGGGCGUAAAGCGCACGCAGGCGGUUUGUUAAGCUAGAUGUGAAAGCCCCGGGCUCAACCUGGGAUGGUCAUUUAGAACUGGCAGACUAGAGUCUUGGAGAGGGGAGUGGAAUUCCAGGUGUAGCGGUGAAAUGCGUAGAUAUCUGGAGGAACAUCAGUGGCGAAGGCGACUCCCUGGCCAAAGACUGACGCUCAUGUGCGAAAGUGUGGGUAGCGAACAGGAU
RNAcentral lists this ribosomal RNA (480 nucleotides) under Alteromonas macleodii. Its description in RNAcentral is "bacterial SSU rRNA". It matches the Rfam family "Bacterial small subunit ribosomal RNA", at positions 306 to 778 of the family's 1533-position model. The record is from RNAcentral. Lineage: Bacteria; Pseudomonadati; Pseudomonadota; Gammaproteobacteria; Alteromonadales; Alteromonadaceae.